Long non-coding RNA from Arabidopsis thaliana (thale cress), 220 nucleotides. RefSeq annotates it as other RNA. Lineage: Eukaryota; Viridiplantae; Streptophyta; Magnoliopsida; Brassicales; Brassicaceae. The record is from RefSeq. The transcript has a single exon.
AAUCGGAUUGCUUCCGUCGUUUAUUGUUUAGAUUUAUCAAAGAGCCAGCCACCCGACGAAUCACGACGACUCUUCUUCCCCCCUUUAAGGAUGUUGACACCGUGUCGUUUUGUCACCUUAUAGAGUUAUAGUCAUUCAGACGCCGUGCCGUUUUAUCAGUUAGAGUUAUUUUCUUCAUGUUGAACCUUUUUUUGUCAGCCCGUUUUAUCCCACGUUGAAG